CCCUUAGAUGUCCGGGGCCGCACGCGCGCUACACUGAAGGAAUCAGCGUGGCUUUCUCCCUGACCCGAAAGGGUUGGGAAACCCGUUGAAUCUCCUUCGUGAUAGGGAUUGGGGCUUGAAAUUGUUCCCCAUGAACGAGGAAUUCCCAGUAAGAGCGAGUCAUAAGCUCGCGUUGAUUACGUCCCUGCCCUUUGUACACACCGCCCGUCGCUACUACCGAUUGAACGGUUUAGUGAGGGCCUCGGAUUGGUCUCGGCCCGCUCUUUACCGGGCGGCGCCGUUGGUCGAGAAGACGCUCGAACUUGAUCGUUUAGAGGAAGUAAAAGUCGUAACA
RNAcentral lists this ribosomal RNA (334 nucleotides) under uncultured eukaryote. Its description in RNAcentral is "partial 18S ribosomal RNA". It matches the Rfam family "Eukaryotic small subunit ribosomal RNA", at positions 1470 to 1796 of the family's 1831-position model. The record is from RNAcentral.